RNAcentral lists this ribosomal RNA (486 nucleotides) under Pimelia distincta. RNAcentral describes it as "partial large subunit ribosomal RNA". It matches the Rfam family "Bacterial large subunit ribosomal RNA", at positions 1851 to 2597 of the family's 2925-position model. The record is from RNAcentral. Lineage: Eukaryota; Metazoa; Arthropoda; Insecta; Coleoptera; Tenebrionidae.
AGUCUGGCCUGCCCAAUGAUUUUUGAAUGGCCGCAGUAUUUUGACUGUGCAAAGGUAGCAUAAUCAUUAGUUUUUUAAUUGAAAGCUGGAAUGAAAGGUUUGAUGAGAAAAUAACUGUCUCUGUAUAAAUGAUUUAGAACUUCAAUUUUAAGUGAAAAAGCUUAAAUUUUCUAUAAAGACGAGAAGACCCUAUAGAGUUUUAUAUUUAUAUAAAUUUAUGAGUUUAGGAAUUUAUUUUUUUAAUUUUAUAUAGAUAUUUUGUUGGGGCGAUGGAAAAAUUUGAUGAACUUUUUUUGUUUUAGAACAUUGAUUUAUGAAUAUAUGAUCCUUACUUUUGGAUUACAAGACUAAAUUACCUUAGGGAUAACAGCGUAAUUUUUUUUGGAGAGUUCUUAUCGAUAAAAAAGUUUGCGACCUCGAUGUUGGAUUAAAAUUAAAUUUUGGUGUAGAAGCUAGAAUUUUAGGCUGUUCGACCUUUAAAAUUUU